Molecule: small nucleolar RNA, 77 nt
Organism: Tripterygium wilfordii
Lineage: Eukaryota; Viridiplantae; Streptophyta; Magnoliopsida; Celastrales; Celastraceae
Product: small nucleolar RNA SNORD34
Exons: 1
Source: RefSeq, a predicted model, not a curated record
UGAGGCCUGUGAUGAUCCGAUGUUUGCCUACAUUGUCUGAUUGCCAAUGAAGACACAAAGAUUCUUCUGAGGCCUCA